Molecule: ribosomal RNA, 253 nt
Filed under: uncultured bacterium
Lineage: Bacteria
Description: partial 16S ribosomal RNA
Rfam family: Bacterial small subunit ribosomal RNA
Source: RNAcentral
UACAGAGGGGGCAAGCGUUAUUCGGAAUUACUGGGCGUAAAGGGCGCGUAGGCGGUUUGCUAAGUUGGACGUGAAAACUCUGGGCUUAACCCAGAGCCUGCAUCCAAAACUGGCAAGCUAGAGUUUUGGAGGGGGAAGCGGAAUUCCUGGUGUAGCAGUGAAAUGCGUAGAUAUCAGGAGGAACACCGGUGGCGAAGGCGGCUUCCUGGACAAAAACUGACGCUGAGGCGCGAAAGCUAGGGGAGCAAACAGG